This 775-nucleotide ribosomal RNA is filed under the name uncultured Neocallimastigales. RNAcentral's name for it is "partial large subunit ribosomal RNA". It matches the Rfam family "Eukaryotic large subunit ribosomal RNA", at positions 22 to 621 of the family's 3401-position model. Lineage: Eukaryota; Fungi; Neocallimastigomycota; Neocallimastigomycetes; Neocallimastigales. The record is from RNAcentral.
AUAUCAGUCAUGCAUAGCAUAUCAAUAAGCGGAGGAAAAGAAACUAACAAGGAUUCCCUUAGUAACGGCGAGUGAAGCGGGAAGAGCUCAAAUUUGAAAUCUUCAAGGUUUUACCUUGACGAAUUGUAGUUUAAAGAAGUGUUUUCUGUUGAAGUUUUGGUAAAAGUUCUUUGGAAUAGGACAUCAUAGAGGGUGAGAAUCCCGUAUUUGACCAUUACUUUCCAGCUUUGUGAUACACUUUCAAAGAGUCGGAUUGUUUGGGAAUGCAGUCCAAAAUGGGUGGUAAAUUUCAUCUAAAGCUAAAUAUUGGCGAGAGACCGAUAGCGAACAAGUACCGUGAGGGAAAGAUGAAAAGAACUUUGAAAAGAGAGUUAAACAGUACGUGAAAUUGUCAAAAGGGAAGCGUUUGACACCAGUGUUGUUUUCUCGAAAAUCAAUUAAAAAGAGUUGGAUUUUGUGUUGUAUUGACUUUAUCAGCUUUCUUCACUCUUUUCCAGCUUUUUUUAAUGCACUUUUCGUUUAACAAGUCAACAUCAGUUUCUUUUGUUGUAAAAAGGUCAUUGGAAGGUGGCUUUCUCUUCGGAGAAAGUGUUUAUAGCCUUUGACUCAUGCAAUCGGAGAGACUGAGGUCUGCAGCGUAGAUCCUUCGGGGUUAGAUACAUUUGUGCUAAGUUAUAGCUUUUCAUAGACAACUUGUUGACUAUGUUUAGUCUUGUAGCUUACUCGCUUAUGCUAUUUUACCUACGCUUAGGAUGUUGAACUCUAUCACACACAG